UGUCAAGAAGGCCUCAUGUUUCUUGGACCCAUCCUCCUCAUUUUCUCAUCCCAGGCUUCUCCGAGAUACUGUUUAUGCUGAGGAAUAAGCAUAUUCUGGCUUACUGUUCACAGUGGAGGGAGUUUCUCCCCUUCUAGAUAAGUUUUUAUCCCACCAGUGUUCUGCUUCCCCAGUAGAGACUGUGUUAAGAAAAGAGGCAAAUUUGCUUUCUCAGACUGCACAGAGCAUCUCAUUAUUUUGUGAAGCCCCAUGGCCACCUAUUUCUGAGACAUGGGGCAUGGCGGAAGCCAGAGUUAUUCUUGGCUGUAGAUUUUAUUCAUCCUUUUCCACCUUGAUUUCAAUGAAUGAGUUCAAGUCAGGACAGCAGGUUUUGUG
RNAcentral lists this long non-coding RNA (375 nucleotides) under Homo sapiens (human). RNAcentral describes it as "long non-coding RNA NONHSAT035854.2". The record is from RNAcentral. Lineage: Eukaryota; Metazoa; Chordata; Mammalia; Primates; Hominidae.